RNAcentral lists this ribosomal RNA (451 nucleotides) under uncultured bacterium. Its description in RNAcentral is "partial 16S ribosomal RNA". It matches the Rfam family "Bacterial small subunit ribosomal RNA", at positions 28 to 507 of the family's 1533-position model. The record is from RNAcentral.
GAUGAACGCUGGCGGCGGGCCUAACACAUGCAAGUCGAGCGGCAGCGAGGGGUGCUUGCACCCUGUCGGCGAGCGGCGGACGGCCGAGUAACGCGCGGGAACGUGCCCCAAAGUGAGGAAUAACUGACCGAAAGGGAAGCUAAUACCGCAUCGUAUCUUCGGAAUAAAGGAGUUAUCCGCUUUGGGAGCGGCUCGCGUCGGAUUAGGUAGUUGGUGAGGUAAUGGCUCAACAAGCCGACGAUCCGUAGCCGGUCUGAGAGGAUGACCCGCCAGACUGGAACUGCGACACGGUCCAGACUCCUACGGGAGGCAGCAGUGAGGAAUCUUCCACAAUGGGCGAAAGCCUGAUGGAGCAACGCCGCGUGCAGGACGAAGGCCUUCGGGUUGUAAACUGCUUUUAUAAGUGAGGAAUAUGACGGUAACUUAUGAAUAAGGAUCGGCUAACUACGUG